UUGAAAGGAGUAGUAUGUCCGAAACCUCAGUACUCAUAAAAGAGUAGGCGAGAAGUUCCCGGAUGAUCUCCUGCUUUCGCCCCGAUUUUUGAGUGUUCAUCCUAUGGAUACUCUUCUAUCCCAGGAGGCCACGGGAGAGCAUACGUCAUUAUCAACAUCGGAGAUCAGCAGGGGUUUUCAAAUGGACAGAAGAACACGCGUGUGUUUAUCUGCUGCUGGAGAGAGGCUCAUGAUGCUGAAUGCUGUCAUGAAAGGCUCUGAGAUCUGAAAUGUCUGCAGACUGGUGUGAGCACUGAGGAUGAGGAGCCUAGAGCUGCAUCCUGGAAGUGGUGCCAUGGAUGAGUCCCUCCAUCUGUCCACCUGCCCUUACAAGACCCUCUAUCUCUCCACCUGCCCUUAUUGCCUCAGAUUGUGAAGCGCAGCGCAGCAACAAGCUCUGGGACGAAGGCACGGUCACCUCUGGUGAAUUCAUCAGAAUAAAGCCGCAGAAUGGGAACCGCUGUGUUGAGACGGCAUUAGGAUGUGGUGUUCAGCCCUGUAAAUACAUGUUUGUAGUUUGAAUAAAGCUUUGUUUCAUGUGUUGUUGACUUGUA
Pimephales promelas (fathead minnow) is the source of this 593-nucleotide non-coding RNA. The record is from RefSeq and is a predicted model, not a curated record. NCBI's taxonomy places the organism in Eukaryota, Metazoa, Chordata, Actinopteri, Cypriniformes, Leuciscidae.